UCUGAAUCUGCGUACGGCUCCGCAAACCAGUUGUAAACUAUAGCAAGUCCGCCUUGGUGCCGGCCGUAAGGUUGGUGCUGGGGCUACAUGGAUACCCGUGGUAAUUCUGAGGCUAAUACAUGAACGUACCCCCUGAUCAACUGGGUAACCGGGAGGUUGGGGACAGUGCGGUCAGUCGCAGAUUUUGCUGGGAAUAGACGCACUUUCAAACCACCAUACAAGCAGUUGGGGUACCGACCUUCGGGAAGGUGCCCUUUCUGGGUGGGCCUUGCUUUGUGCUUCUGACCUAUCAACUAGAUGGCAGCGUAACGGACAUGCUAUGGUUACAACGGGUACAGAG
Molecule: ribosomal RNA, 340 nt
Filed under: Fuligo septica
Lineage: Eukaryota; Evosea; Eumycetozoa; Physariida; Physaraceae
Description: SSU rRNA
Rfam family: Eukaryotic small subunit ribosomal RNA
Source: RNAcentral